GCCCACUUACGCAAAAUGGCAAAGCGGCCUGACUUAGGAUCAGGUGUUUGGGGGUUCGAAUCCCUCAGUGGGUA
This 74-nucleotide transfer RNA is filed under the name Streptomyces sp. NRRL F-6602. Its description in RNAcentral is "tRNA-Leu". It matches the Rfam family "tRNA". Rfam says of the family: Transfer RNA (tRNA) molecules are approximately 80 nucleotides in length. Lineage: Bacteria; Bacillati; Actinomycetota; Actinomycetes; Kitasatosporales; Streptomycetaceae. The record is from RNAcentral.